GCCUCUGUGGAUCAGGGUAGAUCACCUCGAGAUUGUUACAAUUAUUCAAACACCUAAUUAAUGAAGUGAUGUGGGUUCAAGUCCCACCAGAGGCA
Non-coding RNA from Mycena metata, 95 nucleotides. The record is from the annotation of a GenBank genome assembly. Lineage: Eukaryota; Fungi; Basidiomycota; Agaricomycetes; Agaricales; Mycenaceae.